Molecule: non-coding RNA, 2542 nt
Organism: Myodes glareolus (Bank vole)
Lineage: Eukaryota; Metazoa; Chordata; Mammalia; Rodentia; Cricetidae
Source: RefSeq, a predicted model, not a curated record
GGACAGGCAGGAAGCAGUUGGUAUUAGGGCUGUCCUGGAAUUCUUGUGGGCAAAGUGGAGGAAAACAAAUUCAGUAAGGAUGAAAGAGAAUGAACUCAUUUCUCAGAAUUAAAGGUGAACCGAAAGAAAUUGGCAGCUGUCUGGACUUGCCAGCCAGGGAGGCCAUGGUGUCAGAUACACGUGACAGAUCCAGAGACAAGGCAACACUCCCUAAACAGCUCCCAGGAAGGGCUUGCCAGGAAGCCAGAUGCCGCUUCUGGAAGACUGUCUUCCGUGGCUGGGCAUCUGGGUUCAGCGCUUUCCAUUUACAGAGGAGAAAGGUGGUGGCAAGUGGCAGCCCGUCGCUGCCCUUCCAAAAAGUGCUGUUUAUAAGUGUGAGAAACGCACACCGCGGCAUCAGGGGAUUUUGACACGGCGCUUGUUUUCAAAGACACCGUUGAAGGAUGCAGCACCCCCCUGGCUUUGCAGACAGAAAGCAACACAGCAAGAGAAAGGAGGGAGGAAGAACAAGAAGACUGUCACAGUUCUGCUGAGGCUCCUGUGACCAUCAGGGCGUUCUCAUCUCUUACGGUGCCUUAGGGGGUUUUAUCUGAGUGACUGGGGUGAUACAUGGUCACAAUUAGGGGAACUGAAUGAAGGACAGUGCCUCUCCAGGCUGUAUCCCCGGCAUGUUCUUCUGCCCCGGGGAAACACGGUUGAGUAUUGGUGUUGGCAGGAGAGCGCAGUGUGCGCUGGGAGACUGGAAAUAAGGUGACUUGAGGUCUGGGUGAUUUUUUUUUCUCCUUCCACUUUGAAGUUUACUGUCUUUGAUGCGCAGCAUUACACAAACCCCAUUUGUUUAUCCGACAAAAGAGAGAGCAAGCUUUGUAAUUAGGAGUCUUCAUUCUUUCAUUCAUGCCUUGCUUUUAUUCAUAUUUUCUUUCUCACCCCCAAUCUCUCUUUUCUCUCUCCCUCUCUCCCUCUUUUAUUCUCCCCUUUCUUCACCUGAUACUUAAUAUUUGACAAUAGUAUGAAGUCUUUUGAAAUUGAAAAGCGUGAUCCAUAGCGAAGUUGGGAUUGAUACAACAGGAGCUGGGACUGACAAAUUCCCUCACGUGAGUGACCUUGGAAUACUCUGUCCUAAAAGACCUGUCACCAUCAAAUCUCUUGCCUCCAGGAUCAGGGGACUCUGGAAGAGGAGGUGGGAAGAGCGUAAGAGCCAAAAGGGAUGGAGGACACCAAGGACCCAAGGCCUCUGGACACAGUGGGAGCGGCACACCUAUGCACUCACGGAGCCUGAGGCAGUAUGCCCAGGGCUUGCACCAGAUGUGGUCCGAGAGCUGAAGAAAGACGUGGGCACAUGGCCCCCAUCCCUAAGUCAGGAGCUAUCUCCAAUUGGUAACCACUUGCAAAGGAAAAAUUAGUUUUCCCUAAGAAAACAAACCUCUCUUAAGGGCAGGCCCCCAGCCCAGCAAUUGACACAAACGGAAAUGAACUUGAAGGCAUCUGUGGAGAUUAUUGUCUCAUUACGGACAAGUCCAAGAAUCGUGAUGAAGAAGAAUACGGCUAAAAUUUUUAUUUCUCAGAGGCCAGUAUCUCUGUGGGGUGAACCUUGGUUCACAACAGAAGACAGCCAUAAAAGGGGCAGAACAAAUGAAAAAUACCCAUAGCCUGCAAAUCUUUGGCUAUCAGGUGUUGUGGUUGGGUGGAAGACCAAAGUGUACAGAAAGAGAGUGCAGUUCCAGGAGACAGCACAGAAAAAUACGUCCUGUUCCAAAGCACAGGAGACCAGAGCAGUCCGACGCCUGCAUGGGCAGAAGUGAGUCACACCCGCGAUGUUCCUGAGGACCAGACGGAAGAGAGAAGGAGGUCCCUGGUUUUGAAGUACAUGUUUAUCCGUAUCUAACCUCCACUGGGGAUCAGAAAUGCCCACAGUGCCAUUGUAAAGAACUGGUGGACACAUUGUUUCCUCGAUGGUUUCCACACCCAACCCUCCUACUUCUAGGUCAUCAUCAUUUACGUUGCCGCAGAUAGGCUUUUGCAGAAUAUUUCAUUUAAUAUCCAUAAAGACCACAAUGGCUUUGAAUAUCAGUUCUCUCUCACAAAGUAGCCACAGCUCCACAGUUGCUCCUUUUAACACGGCAUUCAACUGGCAUGCUUCCCUGAGAUCUGCCUGUUCGCUGAAAACGUUUAUUUUUUUUUUUCACUUUGGAAAUCUAUGAACUAUUUUCUAAGAGUCAAUGCAAAAGGGAAGAUUUUAAAACUCUCCUUUUAAUCUAGUUUAUAAUGUGCAAAUCUCCCCCAAGAAAACUUAUUUGCAUCUAAAAGUUAGCAGCAAUUAUAUUCUUGUAAGGAUAUUUUAAAGAAAUGCUUGAAUUCUAGUCUUUCUUUCUUUCUUUCUUUCUUAUUCAUUCAUUCAUUCAUUCAUUCAUUCAUUCAUUCAGCUGGAGAUUAACUCAGGGUCUUAGGUAGGAUCCUCCAGUACUGGAAUUUAUUGUUAAAAAUACCCAUUUCUGAGAAAUUUUUACUUUUCCUGCAUAAUGUGUACCUAGGUGAGAAUUAA